This 66-nucleotide microRNA precursor is filed under the name Cavia porcellus (domestic guinea pig). RNAcentral describes it as "microRNA cpo-mir-500a precursor". Its record names the gene cpo-mir-500a. The record is from miRBase by way of RNAcentral. Lineage: Eukaryota; Metazoa; Chordata; Mammalia; Rodentia; Caviidae.
UAAUCCUUGCUACCCGAGUGAGAGUGCUGUCUCAAUGCAAUGCAUCUGGGCAAGAGAAGGGUUCUG